GAUGAAGAACGUAGCAAAAUGCGAUAAGUAAUGUGAAUUGCAGAAUUCAGUGAAUCAUCGAAUCUUUGAACGCACAUUGCGCCCGCUGGUAUUCCGGCGGGCAUGCCUGUUCGAGCGUCAUUUCAACCCUCAAGCCCCCGGGUUUGGUGUUGGGGAUCGGCUCUGCCCUUCUGGGCGGUGCCGCCCCCGAAAUACAUUGGCGGUCUCGCUGCAGCCUCCAUUGCGUAGUAGCUAACACCUCGCAACUGGAACGCGGCGCGGCCAUGCCGUAAAACCCCAACUUCUGAAUGUUGACCUCGGAUCAGGUAGGAAUACCCGCUGAACUUAAGCAUAUCAAUUAAGCGGAGGA
This 349-nucleotide unclassified non-coding RNA is filed under the name soil metagenome. Its description in RNAcentral is "partial contains 5.8S ribosomal RNA, internal transcribed spacer 2, and large subunit ribosomal RNA". The stretch from base 1 to 120 matches the Rfam family "5.8S ribosomal RNA", at positions 35 to 154 of the family's 154-position model. The record is from RNAcentral.